CCUGGUCUUCCACGCCGUAAACGAUGAGUGCUACCUGUUGGGUGGUUUACCAUUCAGUGGCGCAACUAACGCAUUAAGCACUCCGCCUGGGGAGUACGGUCACAAGAUUAAAACUCAAAAGAAUUGACGGGGGCCCGCACAAGCGGUGGAUCAUGUGGUUUAAUUCGAUGCAACGCGCAGAACCUUACCAGCCCAUGACAUGUAUAGGACGAUAACAUAGAUGGUAUUUUCUUUUCGGAGACAUUUACUCAGGUGCUGCAUGGCUGUCGUCAGCUCGUGUCGUGAGAUGUUGGGUUAAGUCCCGCAGCGAGCGCCACCCCUGCCUCUAGUUGCCAUCAAGUUUAGGUUUUUACCUAUAUGUUGGGUACUUUAUAGGGACUGCCGGUGAUAAUCCGGAGGAAGGUGGGGAUGACGUCAAGUCCUCAUGGCCCUUAUGGGCUGGGCUACACACGUGCUACAAUGGUGGUUACAAUGGGUUGCGAAGUCGCGAGGCGGAGCUAAUCCCCAAAACCCAUCUCACUUCGGAUUGCCA
This 532-nucleotide ribosomal RNA is filed under the name uncultured Candidatus Liberibacter sp. Its description in RNAcentral is "bacterial SSU rRNA". It matches the Rfam family "Bacterial small subunit ribosomal RNA", at positions 786 to 1303 of the family's 1533-position model. The record is from RNAcentral. Lineage: Bacteria; Pseudomonadati; Pseudomonadota; Alphaproteobacteria; Hyphomicrobiales; Rhizobiaceae.